Molecule: long non-coding RNA, 547 nt
Filed under: Pongo abelii (Sumatran orangutan)
Lineage: Eukaryota; Metazoa; Chordata; Mammalia; Primates; Hominidae
Description: lincRNA
Source: RNAcentral
UAUUCACAGAGCACCCACUAGGUGCCAGGAAAUGUAUGAAAAGCCCUGUGGAAUAAGACUGAAGUUGUCCUUGCCUUCAGGCAACUUGCAAUUUCCUAAGAACACAGUUUAAAACCACAAAACUAAGCCUUGGAAAUCACAUGCUGUCAUUUCUGCGAUUGGUCAUAACCAGUUCUGAUUCCAUGUUAGAGGAGACUACAUAAGGACACAGGUACCAGAAGGAGACUAACCAGCAUGGGCUACAUCAAAAAGGCUGUCAUCUACUUUCUGCUGGGUAGGGGCACCAGAGAGACUUGUCAGAAACUAGAAGGAAGGUAGAGUGCGAAAUCUGAGUGUUAAUUCCCUGGCUUCAUCAAAGGACACUGGUCUUCACAAGGAAACAGACUACAUGAUUCUCCUUUUGGGCUUCAGUAAAAACCCCCUCCUUUCAUCCCUUAGUCUAGGGAUGGUAAGAGGUCAGCAGCUAAGAAUUCCAGGUUCUUUGUGGUUUUCCCGUAUACAUGUCUUUGAUGAUAGCCCCUUUGGAAAUAAAUUCUCCUAGACUUUU